AAGGAGCUGUGGACUGCAUGGAAGAGAGAAUGCCGGAAUGAGUAGCGAGAUAGAGGUGGGAAUCCUCUAGGCCGAAUAUCCAAGGUUUCCAGGGUAAAGCUGAUCUGCCCUGGGUGAGUCGGGACCUAAGGUGAGGGCGAGAGCCGUAGCCGAUGGACAACAGGUUGAUAUUCCUGUACUGCAGUAUGACAGAACUGUGGGGACACGUAAGGAGAGCGGGAGCCGGGAAUGGAAAGCCCGGUACAAGCGAGGUACCAGUAUGGUAGGAAAAUCCGCCAUGCAAUGGGAAGACGUGAUGUGGAGUGAAGAUUAGUAGCGAAGCCCGUGAGCCAUGCGUCAAGAAAAGCCGCUAUCGUUCAUAUUGUACCCGUACCGUAAACCGACACAGGUGGAUGAGGAGAGAAUCCUAAGGCCGGCGGAAGAAGUAUUGCCAAGGAACUCGGCAAAAUGGCCCCGUAACUUAGGGAGAAGGGGUGCCUGCGAGAGCAGGCCGCAGAGAAUAGGCUCAAGCAACUGUUUAGCAAAAACACAGGUCUAUGCGAAACCGAAAGGUGAGGUAUAUGGGCUGACGCCUGCCCGGUGCUGGAAGGUUAAGAGGAGAAGUCAGGCAACGAAGCUUCGAAUUUAAGCCCCAGUAAACGGCGGCCGUAACUAUAACGGUCCUAAGGUAGCGAAAUUCCUUGUCGGGUAAGUUCCGACCCGCACGAAAGGCGUAAUGAUUUGAGCGCUGUCUCGGCAAUACAUCCGGUGAAAUUGAAGUGCCAGUGAAGAUGCUGGCUACCCGCGCCAGGACGGAAAGACCCCAUGGAGCUUUACUCCAGUUUGGCACUGGGGUCCGGUGUUGCAUGUACAGGAUAGGUGGGAGGCUGAGAAACGGUAACGUCAGUUGCCGCGGAGCCGCUGUUGGGAUACCACCCUUGUGAUAUUGGGCUUCUAACCAGCCGCCGUAAUCCGGCGGUGGGACAAUGCCAGGCGGGGAGUUUGACUGGGGCGGUCGCCUCCGAAAGGGUAUCGGAGGCGCCCAAAGGUUCCCUCAGAAUGGACGGAAACCAUUCGAAGAGUGCAAAGGCAGAAGGGAGCUUGACUGCGACACCGACG
This 1098-nucleotide ribosomal RNA is filed under the name human gut metagenome. RNAcentral describes it as "bacterial LSU rRNA". It matches the Rfam family "Bacterial large subunit ribosomal RNA", at positions 1265 to 2386 of the family's 2925-position model. The record is from RNAcentral.